This 352-nucleotide unclassified non-coding RNA is filed under the name uncultured Archaeospora. Its description in RNAcentral is "sequence contains 28S rRNA gene". Lineage: Eukaryota; Fungi; Glomeromycota; Glomeromycetes; Archaeosporales; Archaeosporaceae. The record is from RNAcentral.
AGUAAAACAGUACGUGAAAUUGUUGAAAGGGAAACGAUUGAAGUCAGUCAUGCCGGCGUUGGAUUCAGCUUGCUUCGCGGAGCUUGCGCAUUUCCUCGCAUGGCAGGUCAGCGUCAGUUUUGCGCGGCGUGAAAAGGCUCGGGUAAGGUAGCUCUCUUCGGGGAGUGUUAUAGACCUGGGUAAAUGCGCAGCGUGGGACUGAGGAUUGCAGCGGACACCUCUUCGGAGGCGCGGCGACCGAACCCUGCUCGGCCACCCUCGUUCGAUAGCGUGCUAGCGGACGCGGGAGCGGCAGUGCACCGGAACAGGCAAGCCAGCGGUUCGCUUAGGAUGCUGACGUAAUGGCUUUAAA